GAUCUUGACGCUGCCCCCCGGCAACCUUACAUUUCAUCUGCUCCCUCGGGGGCUAUGGACAUAAACGGCAGUUUUACUAGCUGGACUGGACUCGGCUGCGAAGCCGACACCUCCACCAAAUAUCCCUUCGUUGGGGGCCUAUGGGGGUGAAACAGGAUCGACAGACUGUGAACGAGCUGAUCUUUGUCCCGGUGAGCCACCACCGUUAUCGGUGCAAAACGUACAGUUGCCAACGACAACCGUGCUCCGGUCGCGCUGGCUGCGUAAGCAGUUCGCAAGACCGAAACUUAAGCCCUUGCGCCUAGCCGCGUAAGGCGGGGUUCGCAGGCACCUGGCAACAGAAGCCUGCACU
RNAcentral lists this transfer-messenger RNA (352 nucleotides) under Paracoccus halophilus. RNAcentral's name for it is "Alphaproteobacteria transfer-messenger RNA". It matches the Rfam family "Alphaproteobacteria transfer-messenger RNA". From Rfam's summary of the family: Bacterial tmRNA, also known as 10Sa RNA or SsrA, is named for its dual tRNA and mRNA-like properties. Lineage: Bacteria; Pseudomonadati; Pseudomonadota; Alphaproteobacteria; Rhodobacterales; Paracoccaceae. The record is from Rfam by way of RNAcentral.